Molecule: long non-coding RNA, 652 nt
Filed under: Sus scrofa (pig)
Lineage: Eukaryota; Metazoa; Chordata; Mammalia; Artiodactyla; Suidae
Description: lncRNA (ENSSSCG00035034974.1)
Source: RNAcentral
GAGAGUGCAUGUCCAUCAAGGUCACGCUUGAGACUAGCAGAGGCGAAACCAGCGGGAAGACGACUUCGCCACCAAGGGCGGGCGGGCCUGCUGGGAUACUCCGGGUGAGUGGGACGCACUGGGCGGGGUUUCGCCGUUCCGAGGAUGUCGGGGAAGGGGGGUCACUGCCAGAUGGAGGUUCCGGUUCCGGUGCAGUGUCUGGCUGGUUGCGUUGCUACGGCAGCGCGGUUGAGCGCUCUCGUCUGUGUGAUCGGGGCUUCGCUGACUUUCCGGCCUACUUAAGCCCCUGGGCCUGGGCCCAGGAAGGGUUUGUUGAACCGGGAGCUAAGAAGGGAAUUGGCUCGUUCGACAGACGUUUUCUGCGCAGCUGUGGCGUGCAAGGCACGGGGCCGGUGCGGGACCUCCAGAGAGACCUGUGCCCAAAGCUUGAGAAAUGAGAAGCAGAUUCCUGGAUUCCAGGUAAAUCAGAGGAACAAACCUGAACAGAAAUAUACAGGAAGUGAUGUGAUGCUGAAGCUUAACGCUUAUUUCAGAAGUCUGGUAUCUGGUGCUCUUAACAGCAGAAACUAUAUUAUUUGCAAAAUCACCACGCUUUUACUUGUAUUAUAUAGUAAUUUUUUAAAAAAUAAAUAUUGACAAUUUGUUCUUGAAA